Molecule: transfer RNA, 75 nt
Filed under: bacterium
Lineage: Bacteria
Description: tRNA-Asn
Rfam family: tRNA
About the family: Transfer RNA (tRNA) molecules are approximately 80 nucleotides in length. Their secondary structure includes four short double-helical elements and three loops (D, anti-codon, and T loops).
Source: RNAcentral
GCCUCAGUAGCUCAAUGGCAGAGCAACCGGCUGUUAACCGGUAGGUUGUUGGUUCGAGCCCAGCCUGAGGCGCCA